RNAcentral lists this long non-coding RNA (225 nucleotides) under Carica papaya (papaya). RNAcentral describes it as "long non-coding RNA (CPAP_LNC001075)". The record is from RNAcentral. Lineage: Eukaryota; Viridiplantae; Streptophyta; Magnoliopsida; Brassicales; Caricaceae.
AUCUGGACCAUACGUUUUCAAAUCUCGCCAUGUGUACGCACACGUGGCCAAACGACCUAGCCCACCCUGACACCUCAUCUGUCGAGGUGUCUCACAUUUUUAAAAUUACAUUUUAGCCCUAUUUUUGGUAUUUAUUAUCAUUUAGGUCCUUAUUAUUCAUAAAAUGUUAACAAAAUUUAAUUUUUCUUUAUUUAAACCUCUAAAAUUUUAAUUCAUAUAAUUUUA